GGAGGAGAAGAAAAUCUUGAGCAGUUCGACCAUGCCGAUGACGGCGAGGACGCGCAGGACGGGGUGCAGUUCGCCGACGCCGGAGAGCAUUCCCCAAGCCAGCCAGCGGGCCGCGCCGGUGCUGGCGAGCAUCAUGCCCGCGGAAAUGCCGCCUGCGAUGAGGACAAGCCCGCCCCAGUCGAUGCUCUUGGCCGCUACCUUCCAGUCGUCGAAGACGCGCAGGCCGGGGACGAAGAGGAGCACGAAGCCGAGCAGGGCCACGAAACCUUCAGGAGCCUUGAAGCCGAUGUAGGGUUCGAGAUUGGAGCCGCCGAGCCACAGGGUAACCAUGGUGAGGAACACGACGAGGGUACGGAUUUCCUUGGUGUUCAGGCCGCCGAGGGCGUUGAGUUCGGCGCGGAUGCUUUCGAGGGACGUGGGGAUUUCACGGAAUUCCGGCGGGAACAGCUUCAUGAGGCAGAACCAGCCGAGGGGGACCAUGAUCAUGGCGCCGGGGACGCCCACCGCCAUCCACUGGGCAAAGGAAACAUCCAUAUGAGCCAUGUCGCGGACGUACUGCAUGGCGAGCACGUUGGGGCCGCAGCCGGCGGGCGUGGCCGUGCCGCCGAUAAGGGCGCCCCAGACGAUGCCGAUCAUGAGGGCGCGUCCGAAAUUGCUCUGGAGGGGCUUGCAGCCGCUGCUUUCCAGGAUGCUCACGCCCAGCGGGAGGAGCAUGGCGGCAACGGCCAUGUCCGUGACCCACAUGGAGGUCAUGGUCCCGAUGGCUAUGAAGGCCAGCACGAUGCGGUCGGUGCGGCGCCCCACCUUGGUGAGCAUCCACAGCAUGAAACGCCGGGCGAGGCCCGAAGACGUCAUGGCCGCGGAAAGGCCCAUGGCACCCAUGAGGAACAGCAACUAGGAUGUUGGCUUAGAAGCAGCCAUCCAUUAAAAGAGUGCGUAAUAGCUCACUAGUCGAGAGGUCCUGCGCCGAAAAUGUCCGGGGCUGAAACACACUACCGAAGCUUGGGAAUUGACGAAUGUUAAUUGGUAGAGGAGCAUUCUUAACGGGGCGAAGCUGUACCGGAAGGAGCAGUGGACUGUUAAGAAGAGAGAAUGCCGGAAUGAGUAGCGAGAGGAAGGUGAGAAUCCUUCCGGCCGAAUAUCUAAGGUUUCCAGAGUAAAGCUGAUCUGCUCUGGGUAAGUCGGGGCCUAAGGCGAGGUCGAAAGACGUAGUCGAUGGAUAACAGGUAAAGAUUCCUGUACUAUAUCAUAACAGAACUGUGGGGACGCAGACAGAGAGCAUAAGCCGGGAAUGGAAAAACCGGUACAAGCGAGGUAGGAGUGCAUCAGGCAAAUCCGGUGCACAAUCUGAAGACGUGAUGUGGGGCGUAAAGCCGGAAGUAUGUGAGCUGGCUGCCAAGAAAAGCCGCUAUUGUUUAUGAUAUACCCGUACCGUAAACCGACACAGGUGGAUGAGGAGAGAAUCCUAAGGCCGACGGGAGAAGCAUUGUUAAGGAACUCGGCAAAAUGACUCCGUAACUUCGGGAGAAGGAGUGCCAUGUAAAAGUGGCCGCAGAGAAUUGGCCCAAGCAACUGUUUAGCAAAAACACAGGUCUAUGCAAAACCGAAAGGUGAGGUAUAUGGGCUGACGCCUGCCCGGUGCUGGAAGGUUAAGGGGAGAGGUUAGUCGUAAGGCGAAGCUUUGAACUUAAGCCCCAGUAAACGGCGGCCGUAACUAUAACGGUCCUAAGGUAGCGAAAUUCCUUGUCGG
RNAcentral lists this ribosomal RNA (1750 nucleotides) under human gut metagenome. Its description in RNAcentral is "bacterial LSU rRNA". The stretch from base 598 to 1750 matches the Rfam family "Bacterial large subunit ribosomal RNA", at positions 1 to 1975 of the family's 2925-position model. The record is from RNAcentral.